CACCGCCGGUACAAUAACGUCGUCGCGCCGCCGUUACGCCACUGAUCCGCGGCAGCCGCCGUGGUGGACGCGGAAGACAGCGGUGGUCGGCGCCGCGGUUUAUCUGACACGAUCAGCGGGGACUUAUCGCCCACGACCCCCGGUCUAUUAUAUUAUUAUAACGCGGUAUCGGUAAUAACCACGCAUCCAUAAUGAUGUAUACUCCGCCGUCAAAAGCGGGAUAUUUCCUCACAACUCCUGUCGCCCACCGUAUACACGCCGCUCUCGUUCCUAAAGACGACGCGCGUUUGUCUUUUAUAUUAUAUUCUCUUCUAUUAUAUUAUAGUCCGAUGAAAACGACCACCGCCGUAUGUUUUAUUGUUAUAAAUGUUAUAUUAUAAUCUCCAUACGUCGUAAAUUAUGUGUAAGUAUAUAUAUAUUAAUAAUUCGUACGCCGUAUCGUUCUAGUCCUAAACGAUGCCAAAUUACACACACACACACCUUCAUUUCGUUUUGUUUUUUUUUUUUUCUUUUUUGUUAUUAGUGUUAUUACCUAUUAUUUUAUUAUUAUUAUGAAUUAUUAUUAAUUAUUAUAGGUGCAUUAUACUUGCCGAAGUAGUUAAAACGAAACAUGGUCAUAGAUUGUUAGGUACCUACCUACCCUAUAAUGUUAUACAACGCUCGUGUUAAGAGGACCAGAUAAUCGCACGUGCGGAAACGUAUUAACAUAUUUUUGUUCUUUUAAUAUGUGAUGUGUGAAAACGCAUCGCUUUACAUUUCGCGCUCUAAAACACACUAUCUAGCAGUGGCGGAUUUGGUUCGUCUUCUAGGGGCGCGGGAGGAGGGCAACAUCAUUUUGGUCUAAAAAUUAUACUUUUAACUAACACGACCAGACUACAGUCAGUCAAUGUGAUCCCUAACCGUUUAAUGCGAUAUCACAACUAUCUGCAGAAACCGUGAUUAUAAUUUCUUAACACUCUGAAAUUCUAUACAGAUUUAUGAAUUAAAUUAUUAUUUAUAGGUAGUUUGAUGUCUAGGGGGUUCCAUGGCCCCUAUGGCCCAUCCUAAACGCCGCGCCUGCUACCUAGACAGAGGCGAAUUCGAAAUUUUAACCGGCCCGGAAGAAUUUCGUUUCAUCGGCCCAAUUAUUUGUUUUAUGUAUCUGUAGACACGACACAUUCAACCGUCUUCUCAUUGUCAAAGACGUAUGCACAAUACGUCAUUUAGGUAAUAAAAAUAUUCUCAUCGAAAAAUAAUAUUUUUAAAAAUAAAAAAGAACAAUUCUAAGUAUAAAAUUAGUUUUAUGGUGAUCAUUAUGACCAAACCGGUCAAAGAGUCAAACUUCUCGACCUCCCGGUGGUACAAUCCGCCACUGUACCUAGGUAUUUUAGGCCCCAUCGAGCCGAGUGUAAACUGUGAGACGACGUUAAUAAUAAAAAGAAACUACCGUUUUACCAUGUCUUAAAAUAGCAUAACGCCUCUUUGAAAUGUGAUGUCCGAGGCCCAUAAAUACAUCCCUGGUUGUACCCGUCUAAUGGACGCCAUGACAUAGUGAAUUUUCAUUCAACCGGACCAUUCAUUUGUGAUUUGGAUUUUAAUAUUAUAGAAUGAAUAAGAUAUUAUAGUAACACAGAUUGUAUUCUUACCUUUAAGUUCGAUAGAUCAGUUCAGUGUAAUAUCGAAGCUAACACGCAAGUUGAUUCCGCUGGUCGCGAAUUUACUAUGUCGUACGUUAACAGUGCAUGACAUGCAUAUUAUAUCACGUCUUCUUAAAAAAUAGAUGUAGGUACCUAUGUAAAUGUUCAAUAUUUUCGUCAGAGAAUAGUACCUAAGACUAGUUUCAUGUGCCUACGUUUCGAUGUAAUAUUAUUAUUAUUAUUAUUAUUUUUCGACGCAUUAGACAGAAAAAAUAAAAUGAUUACUUUACAUAUUAUUAUGGCACGUUUAUUUAAUAUUCGUGAAAAGUACACGCAAAUUAAUUUAAAACGAAUUUAAUUCGAGUUUUUUCAAAAUCUUCGUGAUCGAUUUUACGUAGGUAGGUAUAGAGGUACAUGUAUAAUAUUAUAGUUUUUUUUUUUCGAAUCAAAACGCCAUUCGCUGUUUACACUUGUUGUCUGUAGAUGUGUAUCGCGCGAAUACGUUCCCUCGAAUACAAUAUAAAUACAUAAAAUAUGCAUGAUCGUACCCUCAUUUAAUAUAGGUAAUAUAUCUUAAUAACAAUAAUUGAUAUUUAAUAUACCUACCUACCAACCAAAUAUUAUAAAGUAAUAAGAAAAAAAAAACCUUGUACAUUUUCUAAUGCUCAAAUUAUUCUAAUGCGUGCAAAAUUAAUAUUGUUUAUUAUUAUUAUUAUUAUAAUUAUUAUUAUUAUUAUUAUAUGUUGUAUUUGAGGGAUAAUAUUGUUAAUGUAAAUUAUUAUUUAUUAAUACACUAUAUUACAUAUGAUGUACUCCCGAAUAUUCGCAACCGUUCAAUGUGUUUUUUUUUUUUUUGUUUUUUUUCAUAAUUCGAAAUGAUAAUAAAAUACCUAUUAUAUCUGUUUACCUUUUCCUAAUCGGGUUUUGUCGACAAAACGUCGUCUGCAUAAUCCCUUCCACUAUACAAUUCGUGUGUGCAGUAUCAACCUAUAGGUAGUAAAUAUAAUAUAAAUAUUAAAUAAUAAUAAUAUAAAAAUAUUACUAUUUUUGUGUAUAAACGUUUUAUCGGAAGACAUUUAGAUUGUUUUAGUUUUUUUUUUUUUUUUUAAUGUAUUAUGUUAUUACGCCUAAUUUUUAAUAAUUGGUAAUUUGUUGUUUAGUAUACAAUAUGAAAGUUUCCUGAAAAAAUAUGAAAAAAAUAAUUAAAAUUUCACUACUAUAAAAUGCGUCCAUUUAUUAAACUUUAUAUUCAAAAAAAAAAAAAAAAUUGUAAUGAGAUGUUUCUCUAUAUGGUUAUGGUAUAUAAUAUAAUAUUAUACCUGCUCCCCUUUUGCUGCAGUUUACAGCUUUUUUUAAUGUUUUAAAUGUAACAUAUCCGUUCAGAUAUUGUAUACGAUUGUUGGGA
Molecule: non-coding RNA, 3021 nt
Organism: Cinara cedri
Lineage: Eukaryota; Metazoa; Arthropoda; Insecta; Hemiptera; Aphididae
Source: the annotation of a GenBank genome assembly